UACGUAGGGGGCAAGCGUUGUCCGGAAUGAUUGGGCGUAAAGCGUCCGCAGGUGGCAGUUCAAGUCUGCUGUCAAAGACCGGGGCUUAACUUCGGAAAGGCAGUGGAAACUGAACAGCUAGAGUAUGGUAGGGGCAGAGGGAAUUCCUGGUGUAGCGGUGAAAUGCGUAGAGAUCAGGAAGAACAUCGGUGGCGAAGGCGCUCUGCUGGACCAUAACUGACACUCAGGGACGAAAGCUAGGGGAGCGAAUGGG
This 253-nucleotide ribosomal RNA is filed under the name uncultured bacterium. Its description in RNAcentral is "partial 16S ribosomal RNA". It matches the Rfam family "Bacterial small subunit ribosomal RNA", at positions 524 to 776 of the family's 1533-position model. The record is from RNAcentral.